Molecule: long non-coding RNA, 680 nt
Filed under: Sorghum bicolor (sorghum)
Lineage: Eukaryota; Viridiplantae; Streptophyta; Magnoliopsida; Poales; Poaceae
Description: long non-coding RNA (SBIC_LNC006003)
Source: RNAcentral
CUAAUUUUGCAAGAUUUCGGGAUUUGAGUUCACUAUUUCUGGAUUUUAAAUUCUUUUCUAUCAGUAUGUAAUAGAGAAAUAGCCCAUUCUCUAGCUAAUCAGGUUACGAGUGAGCCACAAAUCGGGUGGUGGCAGCAAAUCCCGGCAUGUGCGGUAGCACUCCUAGUCUCUUAUUGUAAUCCCGGCACUUAAGAUUGAAUGAAUCCUCGCAAAAAAAAUUGUGCAAGAAUUUUUUUUUUAUUUUCUAAUACUAGGCACAAAUAUUAUGCAAUGUAUUCAUCCGAACCUGUAGUUUUAUUCUCCUAAAAUCUGGAAAAUUAUUCUCCUAACUAAAUCUAGAAUAUUUUUCUUGUCAACGUUGCUUCCUAUAUCUAGAACAUAGCUAUGCUUAACAAAAAAAUAAGAAGAAAAUAAUAUAUCUUCACAAGAAACAUAUUCAUAUGGGGUUCUAUUUGUUUUGAAAGAUUUAUCGUAAAAAAAACAUAAUUGUACAAUUGGAAUUCAGUUUGAAUCAUUAAUUUAGCAACUUUUAACAAAUUUUCAGAAGCAUGUAUAUAUAUUCAUCAAACGCUGGAUCUGUACACAGGCGUGGUAAACAGUCGAGCGGAGAAGCAUGCGGAGCUUAAAAAAAAACACGCGGCCCAACAUUGUGAAUGUGAUCUUUCGGCGCACCAAAGCGG